AUUAGAUACCCUGGUAGUCCACGCUGUAAACGAUGAGUACUAGCUGUUGGAGUCGGUGUAAAGGCUCUAGUGGCGCAGCUAACGCGAUAAGUACUCCGCCUGGGGACUACGGCCGCAAGGCUAAAACUCAAAGGAAUUGACGGGGACCCGCACAAGCGGUGGAGCAUGUGGUUUAAUUCGAUGCAACGCGAAGAACCUUACCUGGUCUUGACAUCCUACGAGCUUUCUAGAGAUAGAUUGGUGCCUUCGGGAACGCAGUGACAGGUGCUGCAUGGCUGUCGUCAGCUCGUGUUGUGAAAUGUUGGGUUAAGUCCCGCAACGAGCGCAACCCCUAUUGAUAGUUACCAUCAUUAAGUUGGGUACUUUAUUGAGACUGCCGCUGACAAGGCGGAGGAAGGUGGGGACGACGUCAAGUCAUCAUGGCCCUUACGACCAGGGCUACACACGUGCUACAAUGGGUAUUACAGAGGGCUGCGAAGGAGCGAUCUGGAGCGAAACUCAAAAAGGUACUCUUUAGUCCGGAUUGCAGUCUGCAACUCGACUGCAUGAAGUCGGAAUCGCUAGUAAUCGCAGGUCAGAAUACUGCGGUGAAUACGUUCCCGGGUCUUGUACACACCGCCCGUCACACCAUGGGAGUGGGUUGCUCCAGAAGUAGAUAGCUUAACGAAUGGGCGUUUACCACGGAGUGAUUCAUGACUGGGG
This 702-nucleotide ribosomal RNA is filed under the name Francisella-like endosymbiont of Hyalomma aegyptium. RNAcentral's name for it is "bacterial SSU rRNA". It matches the Rfam family "Bacterial small subunit ribosomal RNA", at positions 777 to 1480 of the family's 1533-position model. Lineage: Bacteria; Pseudomonadati; Pseudomonadota; Gammaproteobacteria; Thiotrichales; Francisellaceae. The record is from RNAcentral.